RNAcentral lists this ribosomal RNA (406 nucleotides) under uncultured bacterium. RNAcentral describes it as "partial 16S ribosomal RNA". It matches the Rfam family "Bacterial small subunit ribosomal RNA", at positions 29 to 526 of the family's 1533-position model. The record is from RNAcentral.
AUUGAACGCUGGCGGCAGGCCUAACACAUGCAAGUCGAACGAGUGGCGGACGGGUGAAUAAUAUCUGGGAAACUGCCUGAGGGAGGGGGAUAAAUACUGGAAGCGGUAGAUAAUACCGCAUACCAUCGGAUGUGCACAGAUGGGAUUAGCGAGUAGGUGGGGUAAAGGCUCACCUAGGCGACGCUCCCUCGCUGGUCAGAGAGGAUGACCAGCCACACUGGAACUGAGACAAGGCCCAGACUCCUACGGGAGGCAGCAGUGGGGAAUAGUGCACAAUGGGCGCAAGCCUGAUGCAGCCAUGCCGCGUGUAUGAAGAAGGCCUUAGGGUUGUAAAGUACGUUCAGCGGGGAGGCGUUACCCACAGAAGAAGCACCGGCUAACUCCGUGCCAGCAGCCGCGGUAAUAC